GGCCGCGGUAUACUAACCGUGCGAAGGUAGCGUAAUCACUUGUCUUCUAAAUAAAGACCAGUAUGAAAGGCAUCACGAAGGCUAAACUGUCUCCUCUCUCCAAUCAGUGAACCUAAUCUCCCCGUGAAGAAGCGGGGAUCCCAUUAUAAGACGAGAAGACCCCAUGGAGCUUAAAACACCAUAACACCUGCCUCACUCUCAACCACUCCGAUGUUUCCGUGCAACGGCACCCUGAUUAUGUGUUUUUGGUUGGGGUGACCACGGAGAAAAACUCAUCCUCCACAAUGAAGAGGGCCCUCCCCUAAACAAUAAGUUACAACUUUAUGUAUCAAAAAAUUGACAUUCAUUGACCCAACAAAUUGAUUAACGAACCAAGUUACCCUGGGGAUAACAGCACAAUCCACUUUGAGAGCCCCUAUCGACAAGUGGGCUUAUGACCUCGAUGUUGGAUCGGGAUAUCCUAGUGGUGUAACCGCUACUAAAGGUUCGUUUGUUCAACGAUUAAAAUCCC
RNAcentral lists this ribosomal RNA (511 nucleotides) under Pristimantis brevicrus. Its description in RNAcentral is "partial 16S ribosomal RNA". It matches the Rfam family "Bacterial large subunit ribosomal RNA", at positions 1929 to 2597 of the family's 2925-position model. Lineage: Eukaryota; Metazoa; Chordata; Amphibia; Anura; Strabomantidae. The record is from RNAcentral.